UGNCGGNAGGNCUAACACAUGCAAGCCGAGCGGUAUUGUUUCUUCGGAAAUGAGAGAGCGGCGUACGGGUGCGGAACACGUGUGCAACCUGCCUUUAUCUGGGGGAUAGCCUUUCGAAAGGAAGAUUAAUACUCCAUAAUAUAUUGAUUGGCAUCAAUUAAUAUUGAAAGCUCCGGCGGAUAGAGAUGGGCACGCGCAAGAUUAGCUAGUUGGUGAGGUAACGGCUCACCAAGGCGAUGAUCUUUAGGGGGCCUGAGAGGGUGAUCCCCCACACUGGUACUGAGACACGGACCAGACUCCUACGGGAGGCAGCAGUGAGGAAUAUUGGUCAAUGGGUGCAAGCCUGAACCAGCCAUCCCGCGUGAAGGGCGACUGCCCUAUGGGUUGUAAACUUC
Molecule: ribosomal RNA, 395 nt
Filed under: uncultured bacterium
Lineage: Bacteria
Description: bacterial SSU rRNA
Rfam family: Bacterial small subunit ribosomal RNA
Source: RNAcentral